Molecule: long non-coding RNA, 306 nt
Filed under: Olea europaea subsp. europaea
Lineage: Eukaryota; Viridiplantae; Streptophyta; Magnoliopsida; Lamiales; Oleaceae
Source: RNAcentral
UAUCAUCAGUUUAUGCAGAACUUACAAAUAUGAAACCGUUUCCGAGUCCAUGAUACUUGACGAAGUGAAGAAUACCACCCUACGAUCGAGAAUCGAAUCAGGAGAAUUUCUCAGAAGCCUCGAUUCUCAUUGAAGCGAAAAUGCGGGAACUUGGUUUUCGAAUAGCGGAAAUAGGAAAGGGAGCGGUGAUUACGGUAGUGAACGGCAGCGCUAUGGCGCGGUCAUUGCCAUUGGCGACGGGGAAUUGAAGUAAAGGGAGACUGAAUUGAAGGAGUCAAACGGGAGUUUUUAUUAGUACUGUAUUUU